GUCAAUUUUAUGAAAACUUCAUUAAGCAUACUGGAGUUUUGUAGAGCUAUAAGCCUAAUUCUUCAGAAUUUCCUUUGUGUGAGCAACAAUAGCUAUUGGUUUACCUUCCGUUUAAAUCCUGAUUAGAAAUCAAUAUAUUUUCAAUAUAUUCAAUAGCCAAUAUAAACCGAUGAUAACAAGAUACGGGAUGAGGCAGGCUCGAGAUUUAUCUCUGCGAUACCGUUCUAUUUGGCCGAGGGAAAAUUCAAUUUGGUUUUUACCUGAGGGUGCUUCGUGCGAACCCUCGUAUCCUCUCUUUAAUGUUGUUGGAUUCUUGGUAACAUUUCCCACCGGUUUCCGGUGCCUUGUUUACAAUGUUAAGAUAAUGUUUCGAAAAACAAACAUGCAUUUAGGAGGGUCGGCCCGUUUAUCUGAUGCUGAGUGAAAAGAUUUAGUGUGUGGGUAAUCAACAUAUAUCUAGGAGGGUGAAUACACGAGUGUAGGUGUCGUCUGUAUUCACGUAACGGUGUCGAGUAGUCACUUAACUCUAGGCGGGCCUUGAGUUGCUAAUUACUGGAGAAACAAGUAUAUCGUCAGCACGUCACACAAGUGAACGCACUUAGAAAUACUAAACGUUACGUAUAACACAUAUGGAGUCCUGUCGAACAUGAAGCACCUGGGACGAAUGGAUUACACAGCAAGAUUGACAGAAGACGCCUGCCUAUAUUAGAAGAUACCGGUAAUUUGCACAUUCAUAGGACAGACUAGUGGAGCGAACACCCUUACUUAUAUUUAUUGUUUAUAUUUAAUUUAAUCUAUUGGACGCAUGGAACGUUUACUUGAAUUUUUUAUUUUAUUCCCUGCGACCUAUUAUAAUUAGCAAUACAGUUAGUUAUAAGUAUACUAUAGAAAAAAGAAUGAGACGAAAGACUUAGAUAUUAUAUAGUUCCAAUUAUGGUAUGCGCUUUACUGAAUGAAAUGGAAAAUUAUAAUACUAAGGCUUAUUAAAAUUUAAAAGACAGGUAAAAUUACAUUGCAGGAACUUAUAAAAAAUAUGGAUUCAUUUUUUUUCUUUAUCGACAGUGUUUCAAAAAGCUUAAAAAGUUUUUAUUCCUAGCAUAAAUGAUUGCUUUCAUAAAAUCACUUUAAUGGCAGAGUGCGCUUGCCAAAUUGCGUUAUAUGUAAAUUACGAUGUAUAAACAUUGUUCAUUCAUCGAUUACUUUUAAUGUUUUCGGUAGGCAGCGGCUUGGCUCUGCCCCUGGCAUUGCUGAAGUCUAUGGGCGACGGUAACCACUCACCAUCAGGUGGGCCGUAUGGUCGUCAGCCUACAAAGGCAAUUAAAAAAAAAAAAUUCAAGACCGAGACUAGUCCAACCUCGUGUGUACAUUAAGCUGUUAUGUCACGGUAAUUUACUUACAAUUUUUUUAAGCACAAAGACAAGCAUAAUCUAAUUGUCGUUUUACCUUUGGAAGCAAUGUACACAGUGCGACCUGACCCAAUGAACAAAUGUUCCGCUUCCAACUGGGACGUGAUUUUAUCACAAACGCAAACAGACAAAGAUUAUUUAACCAAUUUUCACGAGGACUCCCGGGGGAGGGAGCACACCUUUUAAUGUUAUACUCGUACAAAAGCCGCUCGCUAACCAUUCUAACGCAAUCGUAUUUACUUAGGCUUGAACUGACCUGUGCGUCAUAUAUGAUAUUAUAUCGAUCUAAUCGAACAAAGAACUCUAUAGCCGUUCCACCAACCACACGACGUAUGUUUGCAAAACAACUUCGCUUGUUCUGGGAUACUGUUUUUUAUAUUUUGUAUAUCUAUGGCAAACAUAAGAAGUAGUGGAUGUGUCCCUAAAAUACUCCCAUAAACUCGGUAAGACCGAUUCCGACAGUGAAAAUUUCAAGAAAACUCUUAGUAGGCAUCUGUAGCUUAGUAGCGAUCGAAGCUAGCAAAGCGAGCCGAGUUUGUCUUAUAUCAUUUAAUAUGAUAUACUAUAUAAAUAUAAUUUGUUUUAGUACAAUUAUAAUGAAAUUAAAGUAACUGAUGGUGAGGCUUGUGAGCUCGUGCGACAAGGUACCACCGUCCCUACUAUUUUUGCCGCGAAUCACUGAUGGGCUCCAGUUUGGAAGGUGAAAUACAAUACAGUUGUGACUGAACUCAUAUUUCAAAAUUGAUGGCGGAAUUUACUUUUACUCUUGUUUAUGUAUAACCAUAUUACGUUUACUCUUGUCUAUGUAUAACCAUAUAACUACAUGGGAGUCGUGCGCUAGUUUAUCCAACUAGAGAUUUCAUAAAUGUAAAUAUGUAUUAUAAAAAAAAAACAAGCAGCUUAAAUGGCAAAACGAUACUAACAAUAAAAUUAAUUUAAUUUUUUUUAUUUAUCUUGUCGAUAUCGGUCAGGACAUCAGAGCGAAGUUAUAAAACUGUUGUAUUGACAUCGGUCCUUAACGCGUGCGCUAUUUUUUUAAGUUAACCAGACGUCUUGAAGUCGAUAAAAAUAAACAAUAUACAUCAAGCUUAUAAAGUCGUGUUCAAAAAAAAACUUAUUAUUAACAGUUCCAAGUAAAGUUACAUGACGACGACGUUGUUAAUUACGUAUGUUUAAGGCCCAGGUAAAAUAUACCUAUUUUCAUUUAAACUGAGAGAGAUUCGAAGUUUUCACCAGGUACUGAUAAAAUAUUAACCAUUAUCUCAUACGAACUGAGUGCUCACGGUAA
Bombyx mori (domestic silkworm) is the source of this 2694-nucleotide long non-coding RNA. RefSeq lists it as uncharacterized. Lineage: Eukaryota; Metazoa; Arthropoda; Insecta; Lepidoptera; Bombycidae. The record is from RefSeq and is a predicted model, not a curated record. The transcript has 5 exons.